RNAcentral lists this ribosomal RNA (497 nucleotides) under uncultured bacterium. RNAcentral's name for it is "partial 16S ribosomal RNA". It matches the Rfam family "Bacterial small subunit ribosomal RNA", at positions 28 to 507 of the family's 1533-position model. The record is from RNAcentral.
GAUGAACGCUGGCGGCGUGCCUAAUACAUGCAAGUCGAGCGAACAGACGAGGAGCUUGCUCCUCUGACGUUAGCGGCGGACGGGUGAGUAACACGUGGAUAACCUACCUAUAAGACUGGGAUAACUUCGGGAAACCGGAGCUAAUACCGGAUAAUAUAUUGAACCGCAUGGUUCAAUAGUGAAAGACGGUUUUGCUGUCACUUAUAGAUGGAUCCGCGCCGCAUUAGCUAGUUGGUAAGGUAACGGCUUACCAAGGCAACGAUGCGUAGCCGACCUGAGAGGGUGAUCGGCCACACUAGAACUGGAACACGGUCCAGACUCCUACGAGAGGCAGCAGUAGGGAAUCUUCCGCAGUGGGCGAAAGCCUGACGGAGCAACGCCGCGUGAGUGAUGAAGGUCUUCGGAUCGUAAAACUCUGUUAUUAGGGAAGAACAAAUGUGUAAGUAACUAUGCACGUCUUGACGGUACCUAAUCAGAAAGCCACGGCUAACUACGUG